GGCUGUGGCUAGAUUCAAGUAAUCCAGGAUAGGCUGUUUCCAUCCGCGAGGCCUAUUCUUGAUUACUUGUUUCUGGAGGCAGCU
MicroRNA precursor from Dasypus novemcinctus (nine-banded armadillo), 84 nucleotides. Ensembl annotates it as microRNA 26a-2. Its record names the gene MIR26A2. NCBI's taxonomy places the organism in Eukaryota, Metazoa, Chordata, Mammalia, Cingulata, Dasypodidae. The record is from Ensembl.